CCUACGGGAGGCAGCAGUGGGGAAUAUUGGGCAAUGGGCGCAAGCCUGACCCAGCAACGCCGCGUGAAGGAAGAAGGCUUUCGGGUUGUAAACUUCUUUUCUCAGGGACGAAGCAAGUGACGGUACCUGAGGAAUAAGCCACGGCUAACUACGUGCCAGCAGCCGCGGUAAUACGUAGGUGGCAAGCGUUAUCCGGAUUUACUGGGUGUAAAGGGCGUGUAGGCGGGACUGCAAGUCAGAUGUGAAAACCAUGGGCUCAACCUAUGGCCUGCAUUUGAAACUGUAGUUCUUGAGUACUGGAGAGGCAGACAGAAUUCCAAGGGUAGCGGUGAAAUGCGUAGAGAUUAGGAGGAACACCAGUGGCGAAGGCGGUCUGCUGGACAGCAACUGACGCUGAGGCGCGAAAGCGUGGGGAGCAAACAGGAUUAGAUACCCUUGUAGUC
This 443-nucleotide ribosomal RNA is filed under the name uncultured bacterium. RNAcentral describes it as "partial 16S ribosomal RNA". It matches the Rfam family "Bacterial small subunit ribosomal RNA", at positions 338 to 795 of the family's 1533-position model. The record is from RNAcentral.